UUACGGGAGGCAGCAGCGAGGAAUAUUGCGCAAUGGGGGCAACCCUGACGCAGUAACGCCGCGUGCGGGAUGAAGGCUUUCGGGUCGUAAACCGCUUUUCGGUGGGACGAGUGAGGACGGUACCACUGGAAUAAGUCUCGGCUAACUACGUGCCAGCAGCCGCGGUAAAACGUAGGAGGCGAGCGUUAUCCGGAUUCACUGGGCGUAAAGCGCCAGUAGGUGGUUCUGCAAGUCGAGUGUUAAAGCCCCUGGCUCAACUGGGGGAGGUCAUUCGAAACUGCGGGACUGGAGGACAGCAGAGGAGAGUGGAACUCCCGGUGUAGCGGUGGAAUGCGUAGAGAUCGGGAAGAACACCAGUGGCGAAGGCGACUCUCUGGGCUGUGCCUGACACUGAGAGGCGAAAGCGUGGGGAGCAAACGGGAUUAGAUACCCCGGUAGG
RNAcentral lists this ribosomal RNA (439 nucleotides) under uncultured bacterium. RNAcentral's name for it is "bacterial SSU rRNA". It matches the Rfam family "Bacterial small subunit ribosomal RNA", at positions 339 to 794 of the family's 1533-position model. The record is from RNAcentral.